GAAAUGCGAUAAGUAGUGUGAAUUGCAGAAUUCAGUGAAUCAUCGAAUCUUUGAACGCACAUUGCGCCCCUUGGUAUUCCAUGGGGCAUGCCUGUUCGAGCGUCAUUUGUACCCUCAAGCUCUGCUUGGUGUUGGGUGUUUGUCCCGUCUCCGCGCGUGGACUCGCCCCAAAGUGAUUGGCAGCCGGCGUACUGGUCCCGGAGCGCAGCACAUGUCGCGCAAACGAGUGCCUUGGUACGGCGGCGUCCAUAAGCCCCUCUCUCACCCUCUUGACCUCGGAUCAGGUAGGGAUACCCGCUGAACUUAAGC
RNAcentral lists this unclassified non-coding RNA (309 nucleotides) under plant metagenome. RNAcentral describes it as "partial contains 5.8S ribosomal RNA, internal transcribed spacer 2, and large subunit ribosomal RNA". The stretch from base 1 to 105 matches the Rfam family "5.8S ribosomal RNA", at positions 50 to 154 of the family's 154-position model. The record is from RNAcentral.